RNAcentral lists this ribosomal RNA (497 nucleotides) under uncultured bacterium. RNAcentral's name for it is "partial 16S ribosomal RNA". It matches the Rfam family "Bacterial small subunit ribosomal RNA", at positions 28 to 507 of the family's 1533-position model. The record is from RNAcentral.
GACGAACGCUGGCGGCGUGCCUAAUACAUGCAAGUAGAACGCUGAAGAGAGGAGCUUGCUCUUCUUGGAUGAGUUGCGAACGGGUGAGUAACGCGUAGGUAACCUGCCUUGUAGCGGUGGAUAACUAUUGGAAACGAUAGCUAAUACCGCAUAACAAUGGAUGCCACAUGUCAUUUAUUUGAAAGGGGCAAUUGCUCCACUACAAGAUGGACCUGCGUUGUAUUAGCUAGUAGGUGAGGUAAUGGCGCACCUAGGCGACGAUACAUAGCCGACCUGAGAGGGUGAUCGGCCACACUGGGACUGAGACACGGCCCAGACUCCUACGGGGAGCAGCAGUAGGGGAUCUUCGGCAAUGGGGGCAAACCUGACCGAGCAACGCCGCGUGAGUGAAGAAGGUUUUCGGAUCGGAAAGCUCUGUUGUAAGUGAAGAACGGGUGUGAGAGUGGAAAGUUCACACUGUGACGGUAGCUUAACAGAAAGAGACGGCUAACUACGUG